Molecule: ribosomal RNA, 481 nt
Filed under: uncultured bacterium
Lineage: Bacteria
Description: partial 16S ribosomal RNA
Rfam family: Bacterial small subunit ribosomal RNA
Source: RNAcentral
GAUGAACGCUGGCGGCGUGCUUAACACAUGCAAGUCGAACGAUGAUGCCCAGCUUGCUGGGUGGAUUAGUGGCGAACGGGUGAGUAACACGUGAGUAACCUGCCCUUGACUCUGGGAUAAGCCUGGGAAACUGGGUCUAAUACUGGAUAUGACUUCUCAUCGCAUGGUGGGGGGUGGAAAGAUUUAUUGGUCUUGGAUGGACUCGCGGCCUAUCAGCUUGUUGGUGAGGUAAUGGCUCACCAAGGCGACGACGGGUAGCCGGCCUGAGAGGGUGACCGGCCACACUGGGACUGAGACACGGCCCAGACUCCUACGGGAGGCAGCAGUGGGGAAUAUUGCACAAUGGGCGCAAGCCUGAUGCAGCGACGCCGCGUGAGGGAUGACGGCCUUCGGGUUGUAAACCUCUUUCAGUAGGGAAGAAGCGAGAGUGACGGUACCUGCAGAAGAAGCGCCGGCUAACUACGUGCCAGCAGCCGCAGUA